Molecule: ribosomal RNA, 2777 nt
Filed under: Triticum aestivum (bread wheat)
Lineage: Eukaryota; Viridiplantae; Streptophyta; Magnoliopsida; Poales; Poaceae
Description: partial small subunit ribosomal RNA
Source: RNAcentral
GUUGUUUCGGGCCAGCGGACCCCGUCCUCUCCAGCGUCGGACGUCUUUGACCUCCGUCGCUCGUACCGCUGCGGCACCUUGUCGAGGAGCUCGUGCUCGUCGGACACCCGGCGGGACCCCGUCCGGAGGUCGCACCGUGUCGAUCAGCCGCACCUGCGCGAACCCGAGCAGAGGUACCACCACGUCCGGCGCGACCGCCGCGCGGCGGUGGCCCUGCGGACGCACGCGGAGCGCGUCGUGCAGCUCGAGCAGACGGCAGCCCCCGGACGAGCCCCUCGACCUUGAGCUGCUCGACUACGCCGCCCUCCGGUGGUCCGCCGGUGACCUCGUCGAGCCGCGGCGCAACGCCGCCACGAUACGCGAGCGAUGCCACACGGUCCUGACGCCGAUGGAGGCCGCAGACGAGGACCCGCCUGUAUACCGGCUGCUCGAGGCGCGGCGCGUCUUGCUCUAACUGUACAAGUAGGCGGAGUAGGGCGAGUAGCGGGAACACCUGUUAAGCUGUUUGUCAGCAGCACGGUUCCAGCUCCUCCCCCACGAGUCACAUCAGUGUCUAUCAAGUUUAGUAGUGUAGUCUAAAGGUCGUUCUCUAAACCUCAAGUGGUUUUAUACGUAAGUUCCACGAUGUCUUGAAGCGUUACAAGUUCUUGUCGGUAAACAUCCAUUCAUCAAUGAAGAUACUUAAAGGAUUACGCCAAUUAGUACCUGAGCCUGUACCCUUCAUUAUCUGACUUCAAAGUACUGUCAGAAUAAAAGAAGUUCAUAAAGCCUUAUCGAAACAAUACAGACACACGCCAACCGUCAACAACGUGGAACGACGAGUCCGAGAACCCGUAUAAUGUUGUCUCUCUUAUUUUUACAGGUAUACUUACUAAAACUAUAAUAAAAAACAGUAUACACGUAUGAAAUAGUACUCAUCUGUAACACAGUGACGUAUCUUAGAGUGGCACCGGUUUGAAAUCAAUUAUUUGUGUAGAGUACUUUUUCUUGAUCAAUCACCUUCGUUGUAUACGAAGCCUAUCUGAUACUUGAAGCUUGGGAUGAAGUUUGAUGACUUGUAUGUUAAGAUGUCAACUCUUUAAGUAACGGAGUAAAUUUUUUUACCAAAAUCGUGUACAAGUGAGUUCAUCAAUGGUGCACUUUUUACAAUACACUCACCGUCUUUGAACUAGACGCAUAACGUACCGAACAUAAUGUUAGAGGUAAAAAAAAGCAUUCUACCCUCAGGGAUUGAUCCUACUCAACUACUAGAUACGUUAUCUGUUUAACCUCGCACGAGAAAUGUUUAAACGUAAGAGAACCGGUACAGGUACAGAGAAACGCUAGGGUAAACCACUAUUGACUGUUCCUAUCGAAGGUGCUCAGUCCGUUUCACCUGGACGUUCUCGUCUUUUAGAGGUUGCAACUUCUUGAAUACCUCGAAACACGGGUAUAUCUUCGCUGAACGUACCCUAAGAGUUUCAAGUUGAAGAAAGUCUAGUACCUACCAUGUCCUUUAAAGAGUCUUUUCCGUUAUUAACCUGCCCCACCUAAACGGUGCCAAAUGUUCACACUCAACAGGCUACCUCAAUGCCAACGGUAGUUCUCUCGAGUACUCACGCGUUGUCAGCCGUCACUUAACGUCGAACGUUUCGAAGUCGUAUGGUUAGACUAAUCCAAUGAACCCACCACGUAAGUACUCUUUCUUUCCUAAGACCAGAUACUCAAGUACGUGUUACCAAGGAACCUGCCAGUGUAUAUGCUGUCUUGUUUUCCCAGUAACGAUCUGACCAGAUUCGCUGAGUUCUAUUAGUUUCCCAAUUAUCUCCCCGAACAAAUAUACGUGUUUCCGAGGUACAAUACCUAACAGUUAUCCCUGAACUUUGGUUUAUUAUAGGAGAACCUAAUAUUGAACUUGGGUUCCUAACGACUAAAACCUAGUCGAUCUCGUGACUCAAGUCUUCAUCGUCUUCUCGUAUGUUUGUACCAACACCCGUGAACACCAAUGUUUCGAGGCCUCAUACGUAGAGCUCCUCAAAUGAGUCACUUCUGCCUACACAAGUCAAAGCCGCAGAACCAAGACCGUUAGUAUUGGCCUGCCUUCUUAUGGUAUGAGCUGUCUGCUCCCCUAUGACAACCACUAGAACACGCGCUGCGGACCGUAUACACCUUCCUGUUUUCUAACGUACUCGAACAACUAGGCAGAGAUCCCUUGUCUAUACUUUAGCGGCUCUAUUGCGCGACACGAGUGUACCGUGAGGAAACACGGGUCCUUCUAGGUCGUCUAGCCAGGUGGUACUGUCUACAACGACGGUACGACUUAAGACUUUCGUACUCGAAUAGUUACCUCGGAUUCGUCGGAUGUCACGACUCAUUUCCUUCACUACCACUUUCGUGCCGUAGAUGUAUGUACCCGGUUAGUUCGUCCUGUUAUCUGUAUUGGUAGUGCUCGAGUCGAGGGUACAGCUGAUCUCAAGCUUAGUAAGACCUGGGCCUCCAAACUAUACUUCUUUUAUUAAAUUACCACCGUAGUAUAUAGGUAUAUAUCAACUUUACACUUAUUCCCAGUAACCGUAAGUCAGCAGGUCCUAUCACCUGGUUAAGGUCUAUAAUGACAGUUCCCCGUUAAAAAAAGGGAAACAGUUCGGUAAAAACACUUUUAUAGAGAUAGAGAUAGAAGAGAAGAGAUAGAGAUGAUGGAUUUUCUUUACCUCACAAGGAAAAGGGGAGAAUGCAACGGGCAAGAAGCAGGUUGGAGAGCAUGCUGGGGGAGAGGGGACAUCGCUAAAAGAAAGGGG